UAGGGAAUCUUCGGCAAUGGACGAAAGUCUGACCGAGCAACGCCGCGUGAGUGAAGAAGGUUUUCGGAUCGUAAAACUCUGUUGUUAGAGAAGAACAAGGACGUUAGUAACUGAACGUCCCCUGACGGUAUCUAACAGAAAGCCACGGCUAACUACGUGCCAGCAGCCGCGGUAAUACGUAGGUGGCAAGCGUUGUCCGGAUUUAUUGGGCGUAAAGCGAGCGCAGGCGGUUUCUUAAGUCUGAUGUGAAAGCCCCCGGCUCAACCGGGGAGGGUCAUUGGAAACUGGGAGACUUGAGUGCAGAAGAGGAGAGUGGAAUUCCAUGUGUAGCGGUGAAAUGCGUAGAUAUAUGGAGGAACACCAGUGGCGAAGGCGGCUCUCUGGUCUGUAACUGACGCUGAGGCUCGAAAGCGUGGGGAGCAAACAGG
This 428-nucleotide ribosomal RNA is filed under the name Gemmatimonadota bacterium. Its description in RNAcentral is "Gemmatimonadetes bacterium partial 16S ribosomal RNA". It matches the Rfam family "Bacterial small subunit ribosomal RNA", at positions 355 to 776 of the family's 1533-position model. Lineage: Bacteria; Pseudomonadati; Gemmatimonadota. The record is from RNAcentral.